RNAcentral lists this long non-coding RNA (877 nucleotides) under Homo sapiens (human). Its description in RNAcentral is "non-protein coding lnc-STX3-3:1". The record is from RNAcentral. Lineage: Eukaryota; Metazoa; Chordata; Mammalia; Primates; Hominidae.
CACCCCGUCUGGGAAGUGAGGAGCGUCUCUGCCUGGCCGCCCAUCGUCUGGGACGUGAGGAGCCCCUCUGCCUGGCUGCCCAGUCUGGAAAGUGAGGAGCGUCUCUGCCCGGCCGCCAUCCCAUCUAGGAAGUGAGGAGCCUGACCUCAGAUGAUCCAACUGCCUCAGCCUCCCAAAGUGCUGGGAUUACAGGCGUGAGCUACCGCACCCGGCCACAACUCAUUUUAAGACUGCAUCCAGCCAAGAAGAACCUAAAGAGACAUGAUGACUAAAUGUAAUGUGGUGUCCUAGAUGAAUUCUUGGAACAGAAAAAGGACAUUAGGUAAAAAAUAAGGAACUCCAAAUAAAGUGUGAAGUUUAGUUAAUAACUACAACCCAUUGCAGAUUUACUGGGAUCCUUUGCUAAACACUGAGGACCCCAAGGGCCUGCCUCAAGGUCUUACCUGUCCUCAGAGGAUCCCUGGGCUGGCAUGCUGACCACUGCUAGAUCACAUAUCUCACUGAUUCAGGGCACUAUGUUAAGAUGCCUCUUAAACCAGACCGGAAAGAUCAUCUAGAGCUGCUUCUUCAUCAUCUUCUUCUUCAAAGUCACUCAUGAAAUCACAGAAUUAGGAGGAAUUUUAGAGGUCAUUUAGUGGUUGCCAUUACUAUGAGGAAUUAAAUUGGGGGAAAGGAAAGAUUCUAAGUGGUAGUUGUAAAUAUGAUUAUGUGCCCCAUAUCAAAAACUUUGGCUGGCACUGUGGCUCAUGCCUGUAAUCCCAGCACUUUGGGAGGCUGAGGUAUCACUUGAGGUCAGGAGUUUGAGAUCAGCCUGGCCAACAUGGCGAAACUCCAUCUCCACCAAAAAAUACAAUUAGCUGGGCAUGGUGGCACGUGC